RNAcentral lists this long non-coding RNA (31 nucleotides) under Amphimedon queenslandica. Its description in RNAcentral is "uncharacterized LOC109584663". The record is from RNAcentral. Lineage: Eukaryota; Metazoa; Porifera; Demospongiae; Haplosclerida; Niphatidae.
UUUUAAAUCACAAAACAAUGUAUUAUUAUUA